Molecule: long non-coding RNA, 388 nt
Organism: Fundulus heteroclitus (mummichog)
Lineage: Eukaryota; Metazoa; Chordata; Actinopteri; Cyprinodontiformes; Fundulidae
Exons: 2
Source: RefSeq, a predicted model, not a curated record
AGCAAAGAGGUAAACAGUUAUUAGCCUUAACGCCGCCAUCAUUAUCGGGCUAUGGUCAAGACGCAUUAAGUCACGGCGGAGUCUAGGAAGAAUUAAAGCUUGAGUGUAAGCGCAGCGUUAGUGACACCAGUAGUGAAAGGUUAUUCUUACCAUAGAAGUGUAGGUGUAGGAGGCGAACAGCUCCAUGUUGACCAUCCUGUUAAUGGCGGCCUCGCAGUCGCGGUGGUAGUUCUGACGCACCUGAGAUUCCAUGUUGGCUGGCGUUUGAGUUUUUUAAUCAAAAAACGAACGGUAAAAAAAUAAAGCUUUAAGUCAACUUCAGUAGUGUUCAAGUAGAAGCAGGGUUGAGAGAUCUCCGGAAUGCAGGCUUGCUCGGCUCAAUGAAAAA